UCCUUGAUAGCUCAAUUAGUAAAGAAUCUGCCUGCAAUGCAGGAGACCCCAGUUUGAUUUCUGGGUUAGGAAG
Molecule: non-coding RNA, 73 nt
Organism: Bos taurus (domestic cattle)
Lineage: Eukaryota; Metazoa; Chordata; Mammalia; Artiodactyla; Bovidae
Source: Rfam